AGAGUUUGAUCCUGGCUCAGAAUGAACGUUGGGGGCAUGGAUUAGGCAUGCAAGUCGAGCGAGAAGUUUAAGUUUGAUACUUCGGUUGAUUUCUUAGACGGAAAGCGGCGCAAGGGAGAGUAACGCGUAGUUAUCUGCCCCAAGGUCCGGAAUAGCCUCGGGAAACUGAGGGUAAUGCCGGAUAAUAUCCCCGGAUCAAAGGUGUGAUUCCGCCUUGGGAGGAGACUGCGUUGUACUAGCUUGUUGGUGGGGUAAUGGCCUACCAAGGCGAUGAUGCAUAGCGGGCGUGAGAGCGUGGCCCGUCUCACUGGGACUGAGACACUGCCCAGACACCUACGGGUGGCUGCAGUCGAGAAUCUUCGGCAAUGGGCGAAAGCCUGACCGAGCGAUGCCGCGUGCGGGAUGAAGGCCUUCGGGUUGUAAACCGCUGUCAGUUGGGAGGAAGGCUCCGUGAAGAACGGAGCUUGACCUAUCUUCAGAGGAAGUCCGGGCUAAGUUCGUGCCAGCAGCCGCGGUAACACGAACCGGACAAACGUUAUUCGGAAUUAUUGGGCUUAAAGGGUGCGUAGGCGGCGCGGUAAGUGAGGUGUGAAAUCCCACGACUCAAUCGUGGAACUGCGCUUCAAACUACCGUGCUAGAGGGAGACAGAGGUAAGCGGAACUGAUGGUGGAGCGGUGAAAUGCGUUGAUAUUAUCAGG
Molecule: ribosomal RNA, 699 nt
Filed under: uncultured bacterium
Lineage: Bacteria
Description: bacterial SSU rRNA
Rfam family: Bacterial small subunit ribosomal RNA
Source: RNAcentral